RNAcentral lists this ribosomal RNA (207 nucleotides) under uncultured bacterium. Its description in RNAcentral is "partial 16S ribosomal RNA". It matches the Rfam family "Bacterial small subunit ribosomal RNA", at positions 568 to 774 of the family's 1533-position model. The record is from RNAcentral.
UGCGUAGGCGGUUGGGUAAGUCAGACGUGAAAUUCCAGGGCUCAACCGAGGAACUGCAUUUGAUACUGCCAGACUAGAGUACUGGAGAGGAGACUGGAAUUCACGGUGUAGCAGUGAAAUGCGUAGAUAUCGUGAGGAAGGCCAGUGGCGAAGGCGAGUCUCUGGACAGUAACUGACGCUGAGGCACGAAGGCCAGGGGAGCAAACG